AUUGAACGCUGGCGGCAUGCUUUACACAUGCAAGUCGAACGGCAGCACGGGGGCAACCCUGGUGGCGAGUGGCGAACGGGUGAGUAAUGCAUCGGAACGUACCCAGUCGUGGGGGAUAACGCAGCGAAAGUUGUGCUAAUACCGCAUACGACCUGAGGGUGAAAGCGGGGGACCGUAAGGCCUCGCGCGAUUGGAGCGGCCGAUGUCUGAUUAGCUAGUUGGUGGGGUAAAGGCCCACCAAGGCGACGAUCAGUAGCGGGUCUGAGAGGAUGAUCCGCCACACUGGGACUGAGACACGGCCCAGACUCCUACGGGAGGCAGCAGUGGGGAAUUUUGGACAAUGGGGGCAACCCUGAUCCAGCCAUGCCGCGUGCGGGAAGAAGGGCCUCGGUUGUAACGACGUUCGUCGGAAGAAAGUACGACAUGGACUAAUACUACUGUGUGG
This 445-nucleotide ribosomal RNA is filed under the name uncultured bacterium. Its description in RNAcentral is "bacterial SSU rRNA". It matches the Rfam family "Bacterial small subunit ribosomal RNA", at positions 29 to 472 of the family's 1533-position model. The record is from RNAcentral.